This 509-nucleotide ribosomal RNA is filed under the name uncultured bacterium. Its description in RNAcentral is "bacterial SSU rRNA". It matches the Rfam family "Bacterial small subunit ribosomal RNA", at positions 791 to 1319 of the family's 1533-position model. The record is from RNAcentral.
UAGUCCACGCCGUAAACGAUGUCUACUAGCUGUAGGGGUACUUGAGACCUUUGUAGCGCAGCUAACGCAAUAAGUAGACCGCCUGGGGAGUACGGCCGCAAGGUUAAAACUCAAAUGAAUUGACGGGGGCCCGCACAAGCAGUGGAGCAUGUGGUUUAAUUCGACGCAACGCGCAGAACCUUACCAACCCUUGACAUACUUGUCGCGGAUUCCAGAGAUGGAUUCCUUCAGUUCGGCUGGACAAUGUACAGGUGCUGCAUGGCUGUCGUCAGCUCGUGUCGUGAGAUGUUCGGUUAAGUCCGGCAACGAGCGCAACCCACGUCCUUAGUUACCAGCAUUUAGUUGGGUACCCUAAGGAGACUGCCGGUGAUAAGCCGGAGGAAGGUGUGGACGACGUCAAGUCAUCAUGGCCCUUACGGGUUGGGCUACACACGUGCUACAAUGGCAUCUACAGUGAGUUAAUCUCCAAAAGAUGUCUCAGUUCGGAUUGGGGUCUGCAACUCGACCCC